CAUCAUUUGUUUUACAUCUUCAACGCAAGCACGGAGAUUGGGAUGAGACAUUGGCUGAUAAGUUGACCGUCAACGACCUCUCCAUAGAAGCAGAUACUAUGCGCAAACAAGGUUGUACCAUCUCCGAGGGGGUGAAACACACAAUGCUUGCCAUACAGAAUGGGGAUGAGAGAUACGUUCGCCAGCUGUUUAUGCUCAGAAAGAUAAGCAAGGAAAGGCUUGACGCUGCUCAUGAGUAUCUGGGGAUGGAGCCUUUGCCAGUAGUGGUAUGUAGCUCAAUGCCUUUUUUU
Long non-coding RNA from Papaver somniferum (opium poppy), 290 nucleotides. RefSeq lists it as uncharacterized. The record is from RefSeq and is a predicted model, not a curated record. Lineage: Eukaryota; Viridiplantae; Streptophyta; Magnoliopsida; Ranunculales; Papaveraceae. The transcript is spliced from 3 exons.